UGAUCUAUUUUUUGAUGGGUGCGGGUUUGGUACAUGUAACUUUAAAUAUCUCAUGACUAGAUCCACACUCAUCCAAGAAUAGAGGC
Non-coding RNA from Dendroctonus ponderosae (mountain pine beetle), 86 nucleotides. The record is from Rfam. Lineage: Eukaryota; Metazoa; Arthropoda; Insecta; Coleoptera; Curculionidae.